AUGCUCGGGCACCGGCUUUCCUCCAUGGCACCCCACGGAAACUCAAGGGAAAUGUUUCCCUGGGAUGGGAUGAGAGGCCUUGCAAGGCACAAUCUUCAUCCCAGAGAUGCCAGAGCCAAUUCCUGGUACAUCUUCCACCUCUUCCAGAGCAAAACAGCACAGCAGCUCCUGAAAUGUCUGCCCCCAGCCCUCUGGCUCAGAGGCUGCAGAGCCACCAAACCAAAGCAUCACCUUAAAAGAGGUCUCCAGACUGGAUUGAGAAAAAUGUGGAGUUGGGAGGAAAGGGUGGAAUUGUGUUGGACAACAUGUGCACAUGCCUGUGCAUCCAGACAUGUAGCAGGGACAUGUUCAAUUAAGGGAAUGUGACUGCAGGUUGCAGGAUGUGGAGGCUGCAAGUGGCAGAAUCUCCACAGCCUCAUUAAACUCUCAUGUCCAAAUUAAAUGUCAGAUUUGCAUAUUGGUUCUGUGGUUUCAGGCCUGUUAUGCAGCAGCAGGGGGGAAGCUGAUCAUGGGUGGGGGUGCUGUGGGUAUCCAGGUGGGAACCUUACUCCUGAGAGCCCUGCAAAGCCAAGGAUGUGAAAUUUUAGGGGGAACUAGG
Molecule: long non-coding RNA, 598 nt
Filed under: Cyanistes caeruleus (blue tit)
Lineage: Eukaryota; Metazoa; Chordata; Aves; Passeriformes; Paridae
Description: lncRNA (ENSCCEG00000007245.1)
Source: RNAcentral